Molecule: long non-coding RNA, 2053 nt
Organism: Planococcus citri (citrus mealybug)
Lineage: Eukaryota; Metazoa; Arthropoda; Insecta; Hemiptera; Pseudococcidae
Exons: 2
Source: RefSeq, a predicted model, not a curated record
UAAAGCUAUUUUCUCUUCGUAAAUUAACGCCUGUUCGACGUCCUUUUGGCGCAGGUUACCUGUAAUGAGACAGUUUGCAAAAUAAACACGGGUCCAUUUGUUACAAAUAUUUCGAUUUGACAAUGAUUAAUGGAUUACUUACCGACAAUCUGAUGCACAUGCAGUUGCGAAAUAUGAGCACGUCUCUGCAUUUCUUCGCUGGGUAUGCAACUCCUAUUAUCCUCCAUUUGUUGUUCAUCAUCCACGCAAUUCUGUACAGCUUUUCGGAUCGACUCGAUCCAUACUUUUUGUUCCUUAGGCCUGAUGAUUUUCAAUUCGAACAUUUCUGGGUUUGCGGGAUUGGAGGAUAUUAAGUAAAUGCUUUUCGAGUCAGUGCCUGCUUUUUCGCGUACGAGUAAUUUUUGAAGACCAAUUACACCAGGCUAAACAGAAAUUGUCAAAAUUAUAAAAGGAGGUAGAAUACGAUUUCAGAAAUAAAAUUCUCAAGCCAACCUUUUGAUCGGGGGCGAAAAAGGAAAACUUAUUAUUAUUUUCGUUUAAAAAUAAUAAUAUAUCCGACAAUACGAUUACAUGAACUGACUGCUUUUUGGUAGGACCUUGCAUCAAAUGCGCUUCACCUUCGAAUCUGCUCAAGCAUAGAUAGAAAAAUUGAUCAAGAAAAAAAUACUACAUUGUAAAAUAUCCUUGAAAACAAUACAUACCUCAAUUUCCGAUUAUUUGAUAGGAUAUCGGAUUUUUUGAAAAUACUUCCACGAUAUUGCGUGGAGGAUUUCGCUUCAAUUUUGUUAUAGAUUUCCAAUUUCCUAUCUUCUUUUUCUUUUUCAGCUACUCGAGAAUUAACUUCGGUUAAUAUAUCCUGAAAACCCCAUACAAUUUCAGAUUAUAAAAUACAAAUUUAAAAACAACAAAAAAAACAAAGCAGCAACUAAACACGGAGAAACUUUCACGAUCAGUCAAUUCCGAUCGAAUUGGAAUUCGGUUCUACGAAAGAGCAAACCAUGCAGGUUUGACAACUAAAUUUCCAUCAGCUGAAGUUGAUUUUUUUAAAUCUUUAUUUCCAAACGAAAGAAAAUUGUUUUCUACCAAAUCUUUUACGACCGCUUUUGAGCCAAUUUGAAGCCUCCGUCAAAAGUUUAAAAUUAUUCCAAAAAACGCCGUAAUUGACCUAGCAGCUAAAAAUGUAAUCCUGUCGCAAGUUCGACACACGUCGAUCAUUCAAAAAUUCACCAAAGCUCGAAAAAUCAACUUCGCCAGCUCAAAAUUUGGUUAGCUCCUACUGAUACCGGAAUUUCAGCUCGACCCGAAUUGCUAAUUACCAAGAUUUUCUCGUAAAUCAAAAAUAAAACGAUAUUUAUAAUUCGAACCUUGAUAUACGUCAACGCUCCGGUUAACUUGUCUACUUCAACUUUAUUUUCUUUGGAUGUUUUGAUCAAUGGUUCAAUAAGUAAUGGAUACUUCGUCAAUCUUUGCGUUACGAAUAAAAUACAUUCAGGUAUACCUUUCUUCUUCAGCAAGGGAUUAUUCUGAUUACAAAAAUUAAACAAAAAUUACUCAAUGUUGCAAACGAAACUAAUAUUCCUUUCAAGAAUCUAUCACUCACUUGACAAUACUUCACGAAUUCGGCGAAUCUGGCAUCGUGUUGUAAAUAAUACUUGUAAAUAUCUACGGCAUCUCUAUGUCGCGAGCAGAAUUCGCCAUAAACAGCUUUCAACUGUUCGGCAGCGGAUCCGGAAAAUUGUUCUAGUAAAAUAUCGCUAAUGGAAUCCACAACAACGGCGUCUCUCUGCUUCUUGCGUAGAUUUCGUAAAAAUUUCAAGUGUAUUUCGGUUAGUUCUGCGAGGCGUGGAAACAUUCGAUGAAGAUUUGCACCGAGGUUGAAAUACUUUCUUAAACCGUCGACGAAAAUCUAUAAAUGAACGUAAUAUUUUAAUUGAAAAUCAACUAAGAGAAUUUCUCAAUGGCACAAAUUUGGAAAUUACCUUUUGCAUGACGAUUAGAGUAAGACAAUGAUGUUUUUCCGUUAAUAUGAACUCGUAUAUAUGUUCUUGUCGUU